Adelges cooleyi (spruce gall adelgid) is the source of this 1339-nucleotide long non-coding RNA. RefSeq lists it as uncharacterized. NCBI's taxonomy places the organism in Eukaryota, Metazoa, Arthropoda, Insecta, Hemiptera, Adelgidae. The record is from RefSeq and is a predicted model, not a curated record. The transcript is spliced from 3 exons.
AAUGGAUUGGAAAUCGGAAUUUUUAGUCAUUGAUAGUAGUCAAAGAAAAUUCACCGUAAGUUAUGCAAAUGACUAAUUAGCUACGAUUUGAACGAAAUACAGUAAUUUGUUUGCUUCUUGUGUCACAAGUAAUUUACUUCUAAAAGGGUAAUAAAUUGUCAAAUACAUAAUAUGAAUUCAUUAACCCGGGAAAGUUUUCGAAUAAAUGUUGCCAGAAAAAGACUAGGACAAUUUUGCAAUGCCAAAUUACAUAGCUUCAUUUUCUUCAAUUUUCAAAUUGAAGUUUACAGCUAAAUUUGAACUAUACUAACUUGCAAAUAAGAGUUAAUUUUUAAAUGGGAUUUAGAACAGCAAUUGAAUAAAUUCUCUGCAAAGUCAACCUCACAAGUUGUUGGUUUCGUAUUGUUCAAGUAUGCAUUUAUUAGUUUAACAAAUUGUGAGAAGUCAACCAACUUUUGAAUUUAUUGAGAUUAAAUGAAAAUGCAAGAAGAAUAUUGUGUAUAGUUGGUACAAACAGUUAUUAUUAUUUUUACAUUGUGCACCCACAAGAAGCAAAAAAAAAAAAAAUCCUCACAGUAAGAAACACCGGAUGAAUAAUAAAUUUAUAGAAAGCGAUUAUUUUCAAGCGAGUCUUCUGUGACUGAUGGGCGUUCAUCAACAACUCUCCUAGUUUUAUGAUCAUUUGAGAACUAUACAUCAAGGAAGGAUAUAUUAGCUUGUAGCCAUUCAAAUCCUUCGCCGCAACAAUUACAUCUCUCUCAACGUCUUCUCUGUUUGCUGCUGCUUCCACGCGUUUAUUGUGCCAACAAUUUGCAAACCACUUACUCUAUCCACUUGUUAAUGUUUCAGGACUUUCCUGUUUAUUAUUGUUAUAAUAUGUAGGCAUAUGUAUGGAACUACUUUUUUAAUGAGUUAGUGCAUCAAAUACCUUUUAUAGCAUUAAUCAUUCUCACGAGUUCCUGAGUUUUAGCUUUUAAUCAACAAAACACCAAUACUGUUGCGAACCGUGUUGUUUAUAAAUCACUAAUAAGAACUUAAAAUUUCGGCCGAAGUAAAUGUGUAUAAUAAUAUUAUAAUUUUGUUUAUUAUAUAUUGACCAAUAUCUUGUCCAUACAUGUAAAUUGUCGAACACCUAUUUUGUGUCACCAUAAACGAUUACUGGUAAAACCGGGUUGUUUGGGAUUUACAGUUAACAUGGGUCAUAUUUAAAAAAUUCUGAAUUAUGCCGUUUGGUAGCAUUCAUUUACCUUUUUUUGUAAUUUUAAUUUAUUCAAAAUUGAGUCCCAAGUUAUUAUCUCUUGAGAGUUAAACGUGACAUUUUUUACUAUUUAAUAUGGUU